GAGUUGGACUGAAAAUUGAAAAAUUUUGAAUGGAUCAAAUUUAAACUUUUUAAAACUCUGCUCAUUAGGUUUGUUUACACCGGUGCUGUUGGUUUCCUUAAACCAAAAUUGGAAGUUUGAAAUUGUAUCUGAGAGAUUGAGAUGGAAACAGCAUCCACGGACAUUAAGGCUUUCUACAGGCAAACGAAGACCCAGCCAAGGACCCGCAUUUCUCAUGUACGCUCAGGAUCUUCAAGCGUUAAUGCAAUUUGACAUGGACAUGGCCCGGGCUGGCGCGAUGGGACCGUGCUCAGCGUUUAGGUCUGAACCCAACAGAGAAAUUGAGGGUUUUUUUGAAGGAUGGAAAGGUAAACUCAGAUUGCCUGUGGGAUAGCCGUGUUUAGUUGUUAAUAGUAAGCUUGGUUUGAUAUUAGAAUCUGAUGUAUUGCUAGUUGUUGUGAUUUUAUUUUAGCAGUUCUCAUAUUCAGCAUCUGGUUGUGUUGUCAGUAAUGUUUAAUGAAUUUGCUGAUGGUAAUGGAGUGAUAAUCCUUGUGGACAACUGCACGCUGUGAUUGUGUUGUUUGGGGCUGUGUUGAUUAGUUUGAAGAACUGUGGGGAUGAGAAUAGUAGCUCAAGUAAUUCAAGCAUUUUUACCAUGAAGUAA
Manihot esculenta (cassava) is the source of this 643-nucleotide long non-coding RNA. RefSeq lists it as uncharacterized. The record is from RefSeq and is a predicted model, not a curated record. The transcript has 2 exons. Lineage: Eukaryota; Viridiplantae; Streptophyta; Magnoliopsida; Malpighiales; Euphorbiaceae.